GCAAGUCGAACGCUUUGUGGUUCAACUGAUUUGAAGAGCUUGCUCAGAUAUGACGAUGGACAUUGCAAAGAGUGGCGAACGGGUGAGUAACACGUGGGAAACCUACCUCUUAGCAGGGGAUAACAUUUGGAAACAGAUGCUAAUACCGUAUAACAAUGACAACCGCAUGGUUGUUAUUUAAAAGAUGGUUCUGCUAUCACUAAGAGAUGGUCCCGCGGUGCAUUAGCUAGUUGGUAAGGUAAUGGCUUACCAAGGCGAUGAUGCAUAGCCGAGUUGAGAGACUGAUCGGCCACAAUGGGACUGAGACACGGCCCAUACUCCUACGGGAGGCAGCAGUAGGGAAUCUUCCACAAUGGGCGAAAGCCUGAUGGAGCAACGCCGCGUGUGUGAUGAAGGGUUUCGGCUCGUAAAACACUGUUGUAAGAGAAGAAUGACAUUGAGAGUAACUGUUCAAUGUGUGACGGUAUCUUACCAGAAAGGAACGGCUAAAUACGUGCCAGCAGCCGCGGUAAUACGUAUGUUCCAAGCGUUAUCCGGAUUUAUUGGGCGUAAAGCGAGCGCAGACGGUUAUUUAAGUCUGAAGUGAAAGCCCUCAGCUCAACUGAGGAAUUGCUUUGGAAACUGGAUGACUUGAGUGCAGUAGAGGAAAGUGGAACUCCAUGUGUAGCGGUGAAAUGCGUAGAUAUAUGGAAGAACACCAGUGGCGAAGGCGGCUUUCUGGACUGUAACUGACGUUGAGGCUCGAAAGUGUGGGUAGCAAACAGGAUUAGAUACCCUGGUAGUCCACACCGUAAACGAUGAGUGCUAGGUGUUUGAGGGUUUCCGCCCUUAAGUGCCGCAGCUAACGCAUUAAGCACUCCGCCUGGGGAGUACGACCGCAAGGUUGAAACUCAAAGGAAUUGACGGGGACCCGCACAAGCGGUGGAGCAUGUGGUUUAAUUCGAAGCAACGCGAAGAACCUUACCAGGUCUUGACAUCCCUUGACAACUCCAGAGAUGGAGCGUUCCCUUCGGGGACAAGGUGACAGGUGGUGCAUGGUUGUCGUCAGCUCGUGUCGUGAGAUGUUGGGUUAAGUCCCGCAACGAGCGCAACCCUUAUUACUAGUUGCCAGCAUUCAGUUGGGCACUCUAGUGAGACUGCCGGUGACAAACCGGAGGAAGGUGGGGAUGACGUCAAAUCAUCAUGCCCCUUAUGACCUGGGCUACACACGUGCUACAAUGGCGUAUACAACGAGUUGCCAACCCGCGAGGGUGAGCUAAUCUCUUAAAGUACGUCUCAGUUCGGAUUGUAGGCUGCAACUCGCCUACAUGAAGUCGGAAUCGCUAGUAAUCGCGGAUCAGCACGCCGCGGUGAAUACGUUCCCGGGUCUUGUACACACCGCCCGUCACACCAUGAGAGUUUGUAACACCCAAAGCCGGUGGGGUAACCUUCGGGAGCCAGCCGUCUAAGGUGGGACAGAUGAUUAGGGUGAAGUCGUAACAAGGUAACCGUAA
Molecule: ribosomal RNA, 1493 nt
Filed under: Weissella confusa
Lineage: Bacteria; Bacillati; Bacillota; Bacilli; Lactobacillales; Lactobacillaceae
Description: bacterial SSU rRNA
Rfam family: Bacterial small subunit ribosomal RNA
Source: RNAcentral